This 963-nucleotide long non-coding RNA is filed under the name Pongo abelii (Sumatran orangutan). RNAcentral's name for it is "lincRNA". The record is from RNAcentral. Lineage: Eukaryota; Metazoa; Chordata; Mammalia; Primates; Hominidae.
AUAGGGUCUCUCUCUCUGCCACCCAGGCCAGAGUGUAGUUGAUGCAGGGCAGCGGAGCCCCGAAGUGGAGCAUCGUGUGUCCGGAACUGGUGGGUUCUUGGUCUCACUGACUUCAAGAAUGAAGCCGCAGACCCUUGUGAGACAGGGUUUCACCAUGUUGGCCAGGCUGGUCUCGAACUCCUGACCUCGUGAUCUGCCUGCUUGGCCUCCCAAAGUCCUGGGAUUACAGGCAUGAGCCACCGUACCCAGCCACUCUUGGUUAACUUAAUGGAAAUAUUUACAGAGAUUCUUUCUCUUCUGGGUUCUAGCGUCUUAUCUGUACCCUCUGCAGGUGCAGGAAUGAGAGGCAGCAGCCAGGGAAGCCAGGGUCUCCGGCAGUCCUUGUCUCUGUGCAGUGAUCCAGAGAGAGAGAGAACACGAUUGUCUCAGCACUGGGUCUUCUUCUGAGCCUUGAAGGAGCAAUUCCAGAGCGUCUCGGUGUUAAACAUCAUGUUGUGAAUGACCCCGUGAGCUCUGACCCAGUGACCUUGGGGAUAAAGGAGGGGAGGUACAGAGAAGCUCUUCGAAUGGAUGUUGCCAGGGUGUCAGUGUUCUUUGAGGGCACAGACUAUGUGUCAAAAAAGAAAGAGUUCAGUGCCUUUUGUCAUUGCUCAAGAGAUUGAAGGCAUAGGAAGAAAAGAUGUUAAGUUAUAAACAUGUUUCAGGUUUGGUACCACUUGAACCCACUUAUGUUUUGAAGAGGAAAGAGUCUUGCCUACAAAGUCAGCCCCUGGGUUUUCCUUCUGCUUAUGGAAUCCAGGCAAUGGGCAAAGAGAAAAAGAAAACUAAGGAAUCAGCCAGGUGCAGUGGCUCAUGCUUGUAAUCUUGGCACUUUGAGAGGCUGAGGCAGGUGGACUUCUUGAGUCCAGGAGUUCAAGACCAGCCUGGCCAACAUAGUGAGACCCCGUUUCUACAAAAAAUACA